RNAcentral lists this small nuclear RNA (21 nucleotides) under Arabidopsis thaliana (thale cress). RNAcentral describes it as "snRNA_17302". The record is from RNAcentral. Lineage: Eukaryota; Viridiplantae; Streptophyta; Magnoliopsida; Brassicales; Brassicaceae.
UUUCUAGCUUAUGUUUGUUGU